RNAcentral lists this ribosomal RNA (253 nucleotides) under uncultured bacterium. RNAcentral's name for it is "partial 16S ribosomal RNA". It matches the Rfam family "Bacterial small subunit ribosomal RNA", at positions 524 to 776 of the family's 1533-position model. The record is from RNAcentral.
UACGAAGGUGGCAAGCGUUGUUCGGAUUCACUGGGCGUACAGGGUGUGUAGGCGGUUUGGUAAGCCUUCUGUUAAAGCUUCGGGCCCAACCCGGAAAGCGCAGAGGGUACUGCCAGGCUAGAGGGCGGGAGAGGAGCGCGGAAUUCCCGGUGUAGCGGUGAAAUGCGUAGAGAUCGGGAGGAAGGCCGGUGGCGAAGGCGGCGCUCUGGAACGUACCUGACGCUGAGACGCGAAAGCUAGGGGAGCAAACGGG